CAACAGCCAUUCAUUCUCUGCUCAGACUUCCAGGACAAGUUGAUCCCUUUUAUGAGUAAAUUGUCUCCUGAAAACCCCACUGCUUGCUGUCAAUGCGUCUUCAGUCUGAGAAGAUAUUUGAAAAUCAGAAUAAAAAUUCAAAAUGGAAAAUGAACCCCUAAACGUAGGGUCUCCCCAAGCAUCUCUUAAUGUAGGUAGUCAUUUUUUUUUUUUAGCAAGCCAAUUCUCUGUGAGCAUUUUCCCCAUGUUGAGCCCAGAGUCCUGUUAGUGUUGGUUUUUUAAAACUUCAAGGACUAGAAAGGCUUUGUAACAGCCAGUUGAUGUUAUGAUUUGUUUAUAAAAUAGGGAAUUAUGUAUAUUGAGACAGAAAUAUUUUAUUUUAAAACAUAGGAUUUUGUGCAAUAUUUUUCUUGCGUCGUUUAGUUUAUAUAAAUAUGCACAUCUGCUUUUCUGGCAGAUGCCUUAAGGUCAUGUCUUUCAGUAUUUGCCUAAAACUGUAUGUAGCAAUGUUCUAUGUGAUUUCAGAAAAAAAAAUUACUCUUUGUAUUGUUAGCAGAAGUGCUCUUGUUUAUUUAAAAUAAUUGUGGAGAUUGCAUUAUUGUAUCAUACCUAACUGCCUCAGCCACAGUAAAUAUGCAAUAAGAAAAUCACGUUCCUUUGAUUAGUAUUGACAACACUGUUACUUUAACAGAAAUGUGUGUGCUACCGAGCGCUGGCUGUCUGUAUUCCUUUAACAGCUACUCUGCGGCACAUGGAUCUGAACGGUCUAUCUAUGUGAUAGCCAUGUGUGUGGAUUAGGACACUUUGUGAUGCGUCUUUGUUGAGGCUUCUGAAGGGCAUUGCCAGUACCUUCUGACUGUAAAUUAAUUGUUGUAUGAUGUAUAGUUUGUUUAGCCUUGGAGCUUCUAUAGAUUUCUACUUUUAUUAUACUUGAAUGAGGCAGGAAGCACUGUGGGCAGGAUGCAACUUGCAGAUAAACCAAAAAUAAACCAAGGUACUGAACAGCAAUGCUGACGGAGUGCUUUAUAGUCCAGGAGUCCGUGUUUUUCCAGCCACAUUUUAGGGAAAUGAAGUAAUUGAAGAUAAUACAGUCUUUUAUCUAGACAGUAUAGUCUCAAAUGAUUACCUCCUCGAUGUGUCAACAGUGUGUGUCCUUUUUAAACUUCCGUAUCAGUCCUUAGAUAGCUUAGUUGAGGGCCAUCCAUGCUCCCUCCUCGGACCACUCAGUGUCUAGGACGGAACAAACCAACUACAUUGUGCAUAUUAGAUGCACUGUCUGUGUGAAGUCACUGUGUUUUAGAUGGAGUAGCUUUCAUAGGUAGCUUUGAGAACUCUUUAAUAAUCAUAUACCAAAAACUAAAACCUAAAUUUUUAAAGAUCAGUUAUUCCUUAGCUGUGCCUAAAAACUCUUAGUCAUGAAGGCCACAUGAGGGACUCAGGAUUGAAUGUUCCCAAAGUGUGUGUUCGUUCCUUUAGCUGAAGAGUUACUUAUUCAACAUAACCUGUAGCUCAGAAAACAAAACUAAGCAAAAACAAAACAACCACGAGCAACAAGACGGUGAGAUGUGCUUCAUUGUCCUUGCCCCUGCGGCUACAGGCCGCCAUCUCGGAACGAGACUCCUAUGGGAAGAUGUUCUGUAUAAAGGUACUGCUUGGGAGCUUUUUUUAAUAUGCAAAAUAAAAUGUUGGAUGAACUCUGCUUUGCCAUAAAGUACCCAACAAUGUCGUUGAAAAUAAAAUUGGUCACAAUCAAA
RNAcentral lists this long non-coding RNA (1754 nucleotides) under Rattus norvegicus (Norway rat). Its description in RNAcentral is "long non-coding RNA NONRATT008275". Lineage: Eukaryota; Metazoa; Chordata; Mammalia; Rodentia; Muridae. The record is from RNAcentral.